RNAcentral lists this small RNA (243 nucleotides) under Tursiops truncatus (common bottlenose dolphin). Its description in RNAcentral is "7SK RNA (ENSTTRG00000024554.1)". Lineage: Eukaryota; Metazoa; Chordata; Mammalia; Artiodactyla; Delphinidae. The record is from RNAcentral.
GGAGAUGAGGGUGAUCUGGCUUGAACAUCUGUCAUCAGAUUGAUUGCUGGGUUGAUCCUGCAUGGUGGGCUGAGCUCUAUGACCUUCCCCUUUCACUGCUCCUUGAGCAUCCUUCCUAAGUUUGCAUGCUGGGUCUAAGGUCCCAAUGAGUGGAAGACCUUUUUCUUAUCGAGGGUAUUCAAGUUCUUGGGAAUAGAACACUCUCUGAAAUCUGUUUGUAAGAACCAGUGUUAUGGUUCUUUG